Molecule: ribosomal RNA, 377 nt
Filed under: uncultured bacterium
Lineage: Bacteria
Description: bacterial SSU rRNA
Rfam family: Bacterial small subunit ribosomal RNA
Source: RNAcentral
UAAUACGGAGGGUGCAAGCGUUAAUCGGAAUUACUGGGCGUAAAGCGUGCGUAGGCGGUUCGUUAAGUCUGUUGUGAAAGCCCCGGGCUCAACCUGGGAAUGGCAAUGGAUACUGGCGAGCUAGAGUGUGUCAGAGGAUGGUGGAAUUCCCGGUGUAGCGGUGAAAUGCGUAGAGAUCGGGAGGAACAUCAGUGGCGAAGGCGGCCAUCUGGGACAACACUGACGCUGAGGCACGAAAGCGUGGGGAGCAAACAGGAUUAGAUACCCUGGUAGUCCACGCCCUAAACGAUGCGAACUGGAUGUUGGUCUCAACUCGGAGAUCAGUGUCGAAGCUAACGCGUUAAGUUCGCCGCCUGGGGAGUACGGUCGCAAGACUG